GCGGGUGUGGCUCAGUGGCAGAGCACGGGCCUUCCAGGUUCGAGGCGGGCGUUCGAUUCCCCCCAUCCGCUCCA
Molecule: transfer RNA, 74 nt
Filed under: Boseongicola sp.
Lineage: Bacteria; Pseudomonadati; Pseudomonadota; Alphaproteobacteria; Rhodobacterales; Paracoccaceae
Description: tRNA-Gly
Rfam family: tRNA
About the family: Transfer RNA (tRNA) molecules are approximately 80 nucleotides in length. Their secondary structure includes four short double-helical elements and three loops (D, anti-codon, and T loops).
Source: RNAcentral